AGAUUGAACGCUGGCGGCAGGCCUAACACAUGCAAGUCGAACGGUAACAGGAAGCAGCUUGCUGCUUCGCUGACGAGUGGCGGACGGGUGAGUAAUGUCUGGGAAACUGCCUGAUGGAGGGGGAUAACUACUGGAAACGGUGGCUAAUACCGCAUAACGUCGCAAGACCAAAGAGGGGGACCUUCGGGCCUCUUGCCAUCAGAUGUGCCCAGAUGGGAUUAGCUUGUUGGUGAGGUAACGGCUCACCAAGGCGACGAUCCCUAGCUGGUCUGAGAGGAUGACCAGCCACACUGGAACUGAGACACGGUCCAGACUCCUACGGGAGGCAGCAGUGGGGAAUAUUGCACAAUGGGCGCAAGCCUGAUGCAGCCAUGCCGCGUGUAUGAAGAAGGCCUUCGGGUUGUAAAGUACUUUCAGCGGGGAGGAAGGUGUUGUGGUUAAUAACCGCAGCAAUUGACGUUACCCGCAGAAGAAGCACCGGCUAACUCCGUGCCAGCAGCCGCGGUAAUACGGAGGGUGCAAGCGUUAAUCG
Molecule: ribosomal RNA, 532 nt
Filed under: Salmonella enterica subsp. enterica serovar Paratyphi B str. SPB7
Lineage: Bacteria; Pseudomonadati; Pseudomonadota; Gammaproteobacteria; Enterobacterales; Enterobacteriaceae
Description: SSU rRNA
Rfam family: Bacterial small subunit ribosomal RNA
Source: RNAcentral